UACGGGGGGGGCAAGCGUUGUUCGGAAUUACUGGGCGUAAAGGGCUCGUAGGCGGCCAACUAAGUCCGACGUGAAAUCCCCAGGCUUAACCUGGGAACUGCGUCGGAUACUGGAUGGCUUGAAUCCGGGAGAGGGAUGCGGAAUUCCAGGUGUAGCGGUGAAAUGCGUAGAUAUCUGGAGGAACACCGGUGGCGAAGGCGGCAUCCUGGACCGGCAUUGACGCUGAGGAGCGAAAGCCAGGGGAGCAAACGGG
Molecule: ribosomal RNA, 253 nt
Filed under: uncultured bacterium
Lineage: Bacteria
Description: partial 16S ribosomal RNA
Rfam family: Bacterial small subunit ribosomal RNA
Source: RNAcentral